This 159-nucleotide microRNA precursor is filed under the name Glycine max (soybean). RNAcentral describes it as "miR10424b stem-loop (gma-MIR10424b)". The record is from miRBase by way of RNAcentral. Lineage: Eukaryota; Viridiplantae; Streptophyta; Magnoliopsida; Fabales; Fabaceae.
ACUUAUUUUUAGUCUCUAAUAGAUUAACAAAUUUAGUGUUUAUUCCAUAAUAAAUAUUUCUCAUUUGUUAUUGAUACAUUGAUACAGACAAAUAAAAUUUACUAAUUUAUUAAAAAGCAAACACAAAAUUUUCUAAUUUAUUAGGGACUAAAAUAAAAU